GUCGAGAAUCUUUCACAAUGGGGGCAACCCUGAUGGAGCGACGCCGCGUGGAGGAUAAGGUCUUUGGAUUGUAAACUCCUGUCAUGCGUGAACAAGGUUGCUUGGUUAAUACCUGGGCAAAUUGAUGGUAACGCAAGAGGAAGAGACGGCUAACUCUGUGCCAGCAGCCGCGGUAAUACAGAGGUCUCAAGCGUUGUUCGGAAUCACUGGGCGUAAAGGGUGCGUAGGUGGCGUGGUAAGUCAGAUGUGAAAGCCCGGGGCUCAACCUCGGAACUGCAUCCGAUACUGCCAUGCUAGAGUACUGGAGAGGUGACUAGAAUUCUCGGUGUAGCAGUGAAAUGCGUAGAUAUCGAGAGGAAUACCAAAGGCGUAGGCAGGUCACUGGACAGUUACUGACACUGAGGCACGAAGGCCAGGGGAGCGAACGGGAUUAGAUAUCCCGGUAGUCC
RNAcentral lists this ribosomal RNA (449 nucleotides) under uncultured bacterium. RNAcentral's name for it is "partial 16S ribosomal RNA". It matches the Rfam family "Bacterial small subunit ribosomal RNA", at positions 354 to 796 of the family's 1533-position model. The record is from RNAcentral.